CCUACGGGAGGCAGCAGUAAGGAAUAUUGGACAAUGCUCGCAAGAGUGAUCCAGCCAUGCCGCGUGCAGGAAGAAUGCCCUAUGGGUAGUAAACUGCUUUUGAACUAGAGAAAAUCCCAGUACGUGUACUGGGCUGAUAGUAUAGUUAGAAUAAGCAUCGGCUAACUUCGUGCCAGCAGCCGCGGUAAGACGAAGGAUGCAAGCGUUAUCCGGAUUCAUUGGGUUUAAAGGGAGCGUAGGUGGACUGAUAAGUCAGUGGUGAAAUCUCCGAGCUUAACUCGGAAAUUGCCAUUGAUACUGUUGGUCUUGAGUACAGUUGCUGUGGGCGGAAUAUGACAUGUAGUGGUGAAAUACAUAGAGAUGUCAUAGAACACCGAUUGCGAAGGCAGCUCACAAAGCUGUAACUGACACUGAGGCUCGAAAGUGCGGGGAUCAAACAGGAUUAGAUACCCUGGUAGUCCGCACCGUAAACGAUGAUUACUCGCUGCUAGGGGGCAACCUUUAGUGGCUUAGCGAAGCGAUAAGUAAUCCACCUGGGGAGUACGCCGGCAACGGUGAAACGUUAAAGGAAUUGACGGCGNGAGAGNGCGAGGCGACGACGAGGGAGGAGG
RNAcentral lists this ribosomal RNA (611 nucleotides) under uncultured bacterium. RNAcentral describes it as "bacterial SSU rRNA". It matches the Rfam family "Bacterial small subunit ribosomal RNA", at positions 338 to 947 of the family's 1533-position model. The record is from RNAcentral.